This 677-nucleotide ribosomal RNA is filed under the name uncultured bacterium. RNAcentral describes it as "bacterial SSU rRNA". It matches the Rfam family "Bacterial small subunit ribosomal RNA", at positions 49 to 741 of the family's 1533-position model. The record is from RNAcentral.
GAACGAAGCGAUCAGGAGGAAGUUUUCGGAUGGAAUCCGGGUUGACUGAGUGGCGGACGGGUGAGUAACGCGUGGGUAACCUGCCCCAUACAGGGGGAUAACAGUUAGAAAUGACUGCUAAUACCGCAUAAGCGCACAGGGAUGCAUGUCCCGGUGUGAAAAACUCCGGUGGUAUGGGAUGGACCCGCGUCUGAUUAGCUGGUUGGCGGGGUAACGGCCCACCAAGGCGACGAUCAGUAGCCGACCUGAGAGGGUGACCGGCCACAUUGGGACUGAGACACGGCCCAAACUCCUACGGGAGGCAGCAGUGGGGAAUAUUGCACAAUGGGGGGAACCCUGAUGCAGCAACGCCGCGUGAGUGAAGAAGUAUUUCGGUAUGUAAAGCUCUAUCAGCAGGGAAGAAGAUGACGGUACCUGAGUAAGAAGCCCCGGCUAACUACGUGCCAGCAGCCGCGGUAAUACGUAGGGGGCAAGCGUUAUCCGGAUUUACUGGGUGUAAAGGGAGCGUAGACGGCGAGGCAAGUCUGGAGUGAAAGCCCGGGGCUCAACCCCGGGACUGCUUUGGAAACUGCCUGGCUGGAGUGCUGGAGAGGCAAGCGGAAUUCCUAGUGUAGCGGUGAAAUGCGUAGAUAUUAGGGAGAACACCAGUGGCGAAGGCGGCUUGCUGGACAGUAACU